Molecule: ribosomal RNA, 1098 nt
Filed under: Domecia hispida
Lineage: Eukaryota; Metazoa; Arthropoda; Malacostraca; Decapoda; Domeciidae
Description: 16S ribosomal RNA
Rfam family: Bacterial large subunit ribosomal RNA (bases 636-1098)
Source: RNAcentral
CUCGAAACAAAAACAACUAAAUCAAAAAAAAUAUUUCUGUAAUAAAAAAAAAUUGAAUUCUGAUUUAAAGACGAAAUGUCAGUCGAGUUUUGGAUAUCUAGUUUUUUCUGAAGUAGAUUAAAUCUAAUUCUUAUUAAAAGUUUGGUAAGAAAAAAGAAUAGGAGGGAUAAGCUUCUUAUUAAAAUUUAAUAGAUGAUUUAAAAGUCUGUUAUUUGUCCAAGCUUAAAAGUAGUUAAGAAUAAAAGUGUGUUAAAACUUAAAUUACUAAGAAAAUAAUAUAUAUGAUUUCUUUAAAUUUAUGAAAAUAUUAAUAGAAUUAAAAUUAAUUAAAUAAGAGUGGUUAUAUUAGUAUAAUUUUUAAAAUAUAUUGAAUAAUAUAUUAAAUAUAGAAUUAUAAUAAAUUAAAAAGUAGAAGGUGAACCUAAGGAACUCGGCAAAAACCUCUUUUGCCUGUUUAUCAAAAACAUGUCUGUUUGAAGUUAUAAACAGUCAGGCCUGCUCACUGAAUAGACUUUUAAAGAGCCGCGGUAUAUUGACCGUGCUAAGGUAGCAUAAUAAUUAGCUUUUUAAUUGAGAGCUGGGAUGAAAGGUCAGACAAAAAGAAAUCUGUCUUAAGUUCAAUAUUAAAAUUUAAUCUUUAAGUGAAAAAGCUUAAAUAAUUUAGGAAGACGAUAAGACCCUAUAAAGCUUUAUGUAAAAAAAAUCUUAACUGAAUUAAAAGUAAUAAAAGUUUUAAUUAAUCUUUAUAUUAUAUUGGGGCGAUAAAAGUAUAAUUAAUUUAACUGCUUAUGUUUGUUACAUAGAUAAGUGAGUUUAUAUAAGUGAUCCUUAAUAGAGAUUUUAAGAGCAAGUUACUUUAGGGAUAACAGCGUUAUUUUUUUUGAGAGCUCAUAUCGAAAAAAAAGUUUGCGACCUCGAUGUUGAAUUAAAAUAUCUAUAUAAUGCAGAAGUCAUAUAAGAGGGUCUGUUCGACCUUUAAAUUUUUACAUGAUUUGAGUUCAGACCGGCGUGAGCCAGGUCAGUUUCUAUCUUCUAAAGACAAUAAGAUAAUCUUAGUACGAAAGGAUCAGGUUAUUUAAAUUUUUUUUUAUUUACUUG